UGCGAAGGUAGCAUAAUCAUUAGUCUUUUAAUUGGAGACUGGAAUGAAAGGUCGGACAAAAAGCAAUCUGUCUCAACUUUAAUUUUUGAACUUAACUUUUAAGUGAAAAGGCUUAAAUAAUCUUGAAGGACGACAAGACCCUAUAAAACUUUAUACACAAGAUUAUAAAUUCGGCUCUAUUUGUUUAUAAAUUAUUUAACAUCUUGUGUAUUUCGUUGGGGCGACGAAAGUAUAAAUCUAACUGCUUUUAUUUUAAACAAUUAUUUUUGAAGUUAACGACCCUUCAUUAAAGAUUUCAAGAAAAAGUUACUUUAGGGAUAACAGCGUUAUUUUUUUUGAGAGUUCAUAUCGACAAAAAAGUUUGCGACCUCGAUGUUGAAUUAAAUUUUCCUUAUAGUGCAGGAAUUAUAC
RNAcentral lists this ribosomal RNA (411 nucleotides) under Callichirus major. Its description in RNAcentral is "partial 16S ribosomal RNA". It matches the Rfam family "Bacterial large subunit ribosomal RNA", at positions 1949 to 2567 of the family's 2925-position model. Lineage: Eukaryota; Metazoa; Arthropoda; Malacostraca; Decapoda; Callianassidae. The record is from RNAcentral.